GGCCGCGACCAUACCAUGUUACAAACACCGGUUCUCGUCUGGUCACCGAAGUUAAGCAACGUUAGGCCUGGUUAGUAAUUGCAUGGGUGAAUACCGGUCGUUGCGGCCG
RNAcentral lists this ribosomal RNA (109 nucleotides) under Clonorchis sinensis. Lineage: Eukaryota; Metazoa; Platyhelminthes; Trematoda; Opisthorchiida; Opisthorchiidae. The record is from RNAcentral.